RNAcentral lists this ribosomal RNA (272 nucleotides) under uncultured bacterium. RNAcentral describes it as "partial 16S ribosomal RNA". It matches the Rfam family "Bacterial small subunit ribosomal RNA", at positions 796 to 1041 of the family's 1533-position model. The record is from RNAcentral.
CACGCCGUAAACGAUCUUUGCUAGUUGUCGGGAUUUGCUUUGUUUUUUCUUCGGAAUGGAUAAGGAAAUUUCGGUGACGCAGUUAACGCGUUAAGCAAAGCGCCUGGGGAGUACGACCGCAAGGUUAAAACUCAAAGGAAUUGACGGGGACCCGCACAAGCAGUGGAGCGCCUGGUUUAAUUCGAUGCUAAGCGAAGAACCUCACCAAGGCUUGAACUGUAGCUGCAAUCCUUCCGAAAAGAAGGACUCCUUCGAGGGUGCUACAGAGGUGC